RNAcentral lists this ribosomal RNA (1900 nucleotides) under Podabrus sp. C34. Its description in RNAcentral is "SSU rRNA". It matches the Rfam family "Eukaryotic small subunit ribosomal RNA". Lineage: Eukaryota; Metazoa; Arthropoda; Insecta; Coleoptera; Cantharidae. The record is from RNAcentral.
UCAUAUGCUUGUCUCAAAGAUUAAGCCAUGCAUGUCUCCGUACAAGCUUAAUUAAAGUGAAACCGCGAAAGGCUCAUUAAAUCAGUUAUGGUUCAUUAGAUUGUACCAAGUUACUCGGAUAACUGUGGUAAUUCUAGAGCUAAUACGUGCAAAUAGAACCCCGACCGGAAACGGGAAGGGUGCUUUUAUUAGCCUAAAACCAAUCGGCGGCGUGCGUCUUCGGGCGCGCGUUCGUCGUUUAGUAUGACGAAUCUAAAUAACUCUAUGCUGAUCGCACGGUUUAAUACCGGCGACGCAUCUUUCAAAUGUCUGACUCAUCAACUGUCGAUGGUAGGUUAUGUGCCUACCAUGGUUGUGACGGGUAACGGGGAAUCAGGGUUCGAUUCCGGAGAGGGAGCCUGAGAAACGGCUACCACAUCCAAGGAAGGCAGCAGGCGCGCAAAUUACCCACUCCCGGCACGGGGAGGUAGUGACGAAAAAUAACGAUACGGGACUCAUCCGAGGCCCCGUAAUCGGAAUGAGUACACUUUAAAUCCUUUAACGAGGAUCAAUUGGAGGGCAAGUCUGGUGCCAGCAGCCGCGGUAAUUCCAGCUCCAAUAGCGUAUAUUAAAGUUGUUGCGGUUAAAAAGCUCGUAGUCGAAUUUGUGUCCCGCGCCGUCGGUUCGCCGCUCGCGGCGUUUAAUUGGCGUUUUGCGGGACGUCAUGCCGGUGGGCUUAGCUCGUCGCGUUCGCGCGCGUCGGGCGGUCCAACUUUUAUACCCGUCGCGGUGCUCUUCGUUGAGUGUCGAGGCGGGCCGGCACGUUUACUUUGAACAAAUUAGAGUGCUUAAAGCAGGCUAAAAUAUUGCCUGGAUAUUGUGUGCAUGGAAUAAUAAAAUAGGAUCUCGGUUCUAUUUUGUUGGUUUUCGGAACUCCGAGGUAAUGAUUAAUAGGAACGGAUGGGGGCAUUCGUAUUGCGACGUUAGAGGUGAAAUUCUUGGAUCGUCGCAAGACGGACUAAAGCGAAAGCAUUUGCCAAAAACGCUUUCAUUGAUCAAGAACGAAAGUUAGAGGUUCGAAGGCGAUCAGAUACCGCCCUAGUUCUAACCAUAAACGAUGCCAGCCAGCGAUCCGCCGAAGUUCCUCCGAUGACUCGGCGGGCAGCUUCCGGGAAACCAAAGCUUUUGGGUUCCGGGGGAAGUAUGGUUGCAAAGCUGAAACUUAAAGGAAUUGACGGAAGGGCACCACCAGGAGUGGAGCCUGCGGCUUAAUUUGACUCAACACGGGAAACCUCACCAGGUCCGGACACCGGAAGGAUUGACAGAUUGAGAGCUCUUUCUUGAUUCGGUGGGUGGUGGUGCAUGGCCGUUCUUAGUUGGUGGAGCGAUUUGUCUGGUUAAUUCCGAUAACGAACGAGACUCUGGCCUACUAAAUAGGCGAUUUCGACAUCUCGAAGGCCCGCCGGCCGACGUUCGCGCGUCGUGUCGCGCGCGGUUUUUACUGUCGACGCUAUAUAAAUUCUUCUUAGAGGGACAGGCGACUUCUAGUCGCACGAGAUUGAGCAAUAACAGGUCUGUGAUGCCCUUAGAUGUCCUGGGCCGCACGCGCGCUACACUGAAGGAAUCAACGUGUCUUCCUUGGCCGAGAGGUCCGGGUAACCCGCUGAAACUCCUUCGUGCUAGGGAUUGGGGCUUGCAAUUGUUCCCCAUAAACGAGGAAUUCCCAGUAAGCGCGGAUCAUAAGUUCGCGUUGAUUACGUCCCUGCCCUUUGUACACACCGCCCGUCGCUACUACCGAUUGAAUGAUUUAGUGAGGUCUUCGGAUCGGUACGCGUUGACGCCUUUUAGGCGUUGCCGGUGUUACCGAAAAGAUGACCAAACUUGAUCAUUUAGAGGAAGUAAAAGUCGUAACAAGGUUUCC